CUGCGUAGUGGGGAGAGGGGAGACGCUGACUCGGUGAAGCUGUUGGGAAGACAAGGUCUGGGCAGUGUGGCCUGGGAGAUCAAACACGGAAGGGAUUAAGGGGAGGACCUUUUGGCUGGAACCACCAGUGGGCCCAGGUGUUACAAAUUCACCCCAGGUCAGCUGUCAUUAAUUCUAGGAGCCCCUCCCCGAGGCUCUGUUGCUGGGCUCUUCACCUCAAACCCCUCCAUCCUCUAGCCAGGCUUGGAGCAGGUGGCCCUGUCACCAUAUCCCAUGUGGAAGAGGAAGUGUGGGGCUGCAGGACUCUACUUAAAGUGCCCUGGGUUUUAAGGAAGGAGCCAGUGAGGCUCUCUGCCUCAGGUCAGUAGAAGGAAGGCAGCCUCCGUCUCUGAACGACAAACAGCUGUUCUCUGGCGCUUAGUUCUGGCUUGCUCUUCUGACUGGAUGCCGGCCAGGGUUUGGAGAACUACAACUAAAGCUUUAGGCUUCGGAAGGCAGUGAGCGGGCUCCUCCCAGCCUUCCCUGUCAACCUAGGUUCUGAGGAGCUGGAGGGUAUGAAGAGAGUCUCCAGGAAAGUCAAAUGCAGCGUGGCCAGCGAAGCCAACCCUCACAGGUGAAAAGUUCUGACUGAAGAAAGGAGGAGGCUGAACGACCGCUCAGGCUGCUGGAAACAGGACUUCCUGGCAUGAGGAGGCCAGCCAAGAAAAUGCUUUGGACUUCGGAUGUAAAAGAUGAUGUCACGCGUUUCACCUAGACCAGACUGGCCUGGAAUUGAGGCUGGCCUUGAACUCCUGUCCCUCCUGCUUCCACCUCCCUGGCACUGGGAUUACAGGCACACGCCACCACUCUCAGUUCUGAGGAAAACAUUCUCUGAUUCGACCGAGCACGCCUGCUCCUGUUUCUUUCCUCAUCGUCCCACAGUCGUCUUCGGCAACUCCCAGAAGCUCCAAGCCUGUUCCUUACUGCUACAUAAAAGUCAGGCACCAGGCCUUUGAAUGUGAGUUUGCUGGAACACUCCCAUUCAUAAGAAUGAGGUAAAACGGCAUUUCUUCUGUUGGUCUCAUACUGAGUUUGUUUCAUGAACUCAAUGAACAAAGGGGGUGAAAGGAAGUUUUUCUCUCCCCUACAUCUUGGGUUAGUAAAUAUUUCUCCCCACCUAGACACUGUACUGUAGGCAGUUACAAAAGCAGCAACCAUUCAUGAACCUUCUAACACAAGCACUUAAGGAGAUAGAUUAAAAACAGGGUCCUUCUAGGGCCUUGGGCUUUGGUCCUGGAAUGCAUGUUGAUUUUGCAUGUGAUGCCCACUCCGCCAUUCUGCUAACAUUACUACCUUCUGUUGGGGGUAAGGCAAGCUCCAAAGAGCCACCAACUUGGCCUGCAUUCAUGGUGGUGGGGCUCCCCAAGCCUGGUGGCUCCUCCCUGCAGACCUGCACAGGUCUCAGGUGGCAAGAGAU
Molecule: long non-coding RNA, 1456 nt
Organism: Alexandromys fortis (reed vole)
Lineage: Eukaryota; Metazoa; Chordata; Mammalia; Rodentia; Cricetidae
Exons: 3
Source: RefSeq, a predicted model, not a curated record